RNAcentral lists this ribosomal RNA (465 nucleotides) under uncultured bacterium. RNAcentral's name for it is "partial 16S ribosomal RNA". It matches the Rfam family "Bacterial small subunit ribosomal RNA", at positions 338 to 795 of the family's 1533-position model. The record is from RNAcentral.
CCUACGGGAGUCAGCAGUGGGGAAUAUUGCGCAAUGGGCGAAAGCCUGACGCAGCGACGCCGCGUGAGGGAUGAAGGUCUUCGGAUCGUAAACCUCUGUCAGCAGGGAAGAACGGGCACUGUGCUAAUCAGCAGUGAAUUGACGGUACCUGCAAAGGAAGCACCGGCUAACUCCGUGCCAGCAGCCGCGGUAAUACGGAGGGUGCGAGCGUUAAUCGGAAUUACUGGGCGUAAAGCGCUCGUAGGCGGUAUGUCAAGUCAAGGGUGAAAUCCCCGCGCUCAACGUGUGAACUGCCUUUGAAACGGGCAAACUGGAGUGUGUGAGAGGAUAGUGGAAUGCCAGGUGUAGGAGUGAAAGCCGUAGAUAUCUGGAGGAACAUCAGUGGCGAAGGCGACUAUCUGGCACAUAACUGACGCUGAGGAGCGAAAGCGUGGGUAGCAAACAGGAUUAGAUACCCUGGUAGUC